CGCGUAGGCGGGAUGGCAAGUCGGUCGUGAAAUCCUUCGGCUCAACCGAAGAACGUCGGCCGAUACUGCCGUUCUUGAGGGAUGCAGAGGAGAUUGGAAUUCCCGGUGUAGCGGUGAAAUGUGUAGAGAUCGGGAGGAACACCGGUGGCGAAGGCGGGUCUCUGGGCAUCUCCUGACGCUGAGGCGCGAAAGCGUGGGGAGCAAACGGGAUUAGAUACCCCGGUAGUCCACGCUGUAAACGAUGACGACUAGGUGUGGGGGGGGUUAGUCCUUUCCGUGCCGCAGCUAACGCAUUAAGUCGUCCGCCUGGGGAGUACGGCCGCAAGGUUAAA
This 332-nucleotide ribosomal RNA is filed under the name uncultured bacterium. RNAcentral's name for it is "bacterial SSU rRNA". It matches the Rfam family "Bacterial small subunit ribosomal RNA", at positions 568 to 898 of the family's 1533-position model. The record is from RNAcentral.